GAUGAACGCUGGCGGCGUGCCUAAUACAUGCAAGUAGAACGCUGAAGCAAGGAGCUUGCUCUUUCCGCAUGAGUUGCGAACGGGUGAGUAACGCGUAGGUAACCUGCCUGGUAGUGGGGGAUAACUAUUGGAAACGAUAGCUAAUACCGCAUAACAGUAGAUGUUGCAUGAUUUCUACUUAAAAGGUGCAAUUGCACCACUACCAGAUGGACUUGCGUUGUAUUAGCUAGUUGGUGAGGUAACGGCUCUACAAGGCGAAGAAACAUAGCCGAACUGAGAGGGGGAUCGGCCAAAAUGGGAGGGAGACACGGCACAGAGGGCUACGGGAAGGAGCAGGAGGGAAACUUCGGGAAGGGGGGGAAAUCUGGCCGAGAAAAGCCGAGGGAGGGAAGAAGGAUUUCGGGUGGGAAAGGUCGGUUGUAAGGGAAGAAAGAGAGGGAGAGUGGAAAGUUCACACUGUGACGGUAACUAACAAGAAAGGGACGGCUAACUACGUG
This 497-nucleotide ribosomal RNA is filed under the name uncultured bacterium. RNAcentral's name for it is "partial 16S ribosomal RNA". It matches the Rfam family "Bacterial small subunit ribosomal RNA", at positions 28 to 507 of the family's 1533-position model. The record is from RNAcentral.